UACGUAGGAUGCAAGCGUUGUCCGGAAUUAUUGGGCGUAAAGAGAACGUAGGCGGCGAGUUAAGUUUGGUCUUAAAGACCGGGGCUCAACCCCCGGGAAUGGACCGAAAACUGAUUGGCUAGAGGACGUCAGAGGAAAGUGGAAUUCCGAGUGUAGCGGUGAAAUGCGUAGAUAUUCGGAGGAACACCAGUGGCGAAAGCGACUUUCUGGGACGUUCCUGACGCUGAGGUUCGAAAGCUCGGGGAGCAAACAGGG
RNAcentral lists this ribosomal RNA (255 nucleotides) under uncultured bacterium. RNAcentral describes it as "partial 16S ribosomal RNA". It matches the Rfam family "Bacterial small subunit ribosomal RNA", at positions 524 to 777 of the family's 1533-position model. The record is from RNAcentral.